UUGGUGAUCAAACAUCCUCAGAGGUCCAUCUGACUAUAGAAGGUGAUCAACUGGUUGGUGCUCAGGUUAUCGUGACGGUCCUGGGAAUCAUUCUGCUCGUCACUACUUUGGUCAUCUUUGCGUGCUGGUUGAAAUCAAGACGCUGCACCAAACCACAGGAGGACGCAGAAGAAGACAUUUAUGUUAACAUGGUGGCCAUCAGGCGGAAGAGGAAGCUAUGAAGCUGUAUCUUCUUCUCUGUAUUCAUUAUUACAUUACAGGUCAUUUAGCUGAAGCUUUUAUCCAAAGCUUACAUUACAUUUUUAACCCAUGGCUUU
Molecule: non-coding RNA, 317 nt
Organism: Gasterosteus aculeatus aculeatus (three-spined stickleback)
Lineage: Eukaryota; Metazoa; Chordata; Actinopteri; Perciformes; Gasterosteidae
Source: RefSeq, a predicted model, not a curated record